Scylla paramamosain (green mud crab) is the source of this 701-nucleotide long non-coding RNA. RefSeq lists it as uncharacterized. The transcript has 5 exons. NCBI's taxonomy places the organism in Eukaryota, Metazoa, Arthropoda, Malacostraca, Decapoda, Portunidae. The record is from RefSeq and is a predicted model, not a curated record.
GCCAACCACCAGCACCUCCCCCACUAGCAUGCCUUUCUCUUCAAGUCCCAGCGAGGAGCACCCGCCCUCCUCCCCACCCUCGUCUCUCAACAGAUGGGAGGGCCUGGACAGACUGAGAGAGGAACUGAUGAAAGAGAGAGAGAUAGAGAUUGAAGAGAGAAUUGCAAGUAUAAGAGAGGAAGAAAGGAGGAAACUAGAUGACGAAAAACAGAUGGAGUUUGCAGAAGCGGUGAAAGCUUUGGCACAGGACAAGGAAAGGGUUAUUGAAGAUUUAAAGAUUAGGAUUCAGCUUCUAACAGAUGAAUGUGACAGAAGAAGAGGAGGAGGAGGAGGAGGAGGAGGAGGAGGAAGAGAGGAGGAGGAAGGGAGAAAUGUUGGAGGACAGAUAUUGCAAGAAAAUGUUGAAUUGAAGAAUGAGAUCAACUCACUGCAGAAACAAGUCAGAAAUUUGGAAAUUGAACUGGCAAGAGCAAAACGGUUUUCAUUUGUGACGCAGCAGAGCACCACCGCCACCACCACCACCACCACCACCGCUCUGCUGCUGCUGCUGCCACCGACAUGACAGCCUCCACAGCCUCAAUGACUGUUAAUGAAGACACAAGAGAGAAUUUGCCACACCAGGCCAGCCCACUCCUGUCUCAUGGUACCAUCACCUUUAAUUCCUGGCUGACUGGGGACACACUGUUGGUGGUUUGGGGAUG